AUAAUUUAAGGUGAGUAAAAUACCAUUUCAUUAUUAUAUACUUUAUAAUAAUAAAAUGAGAAAAAUAUUUUUAUAAAUAUAAAUUUAUCUAUUUUAUUUAUACAAUUCUAAUAAUUUUAAAGUCUAUAGUUAUUUUUUUUAAUUAAAAAUUCUUUACAUAUAUAUAUAUAUAUAUAUAUAUUAUAUUUUAAUUUAUAAAUUAUA
This 204-nucleotide transfer RNA is filed under the name Pneumocystis jirovecii. RNAcentral describes it as "tRNA-Pseudo(ATT)". The record is from RNAcentral. Lineage: Eukaryota; Fungi; Ascomycota; Pneumocystomycetes; Pneumocystales; Pneumocystaceae.